Molecule: transfer RNA, 73 nt
Filed under: Gimesia algae
Lineage: Bacteria; Pseudomonadati; Planctomycetota; Planctomycetia; Planctomycetales; Planctomycetaceae
Description: Planctomycetes bacterium Pan161 tRNA-Ala
Rfam family: tRNA
About the family: Transfer RNA (tRNA) molecules are approximately 80 nucleotides in length. Their secondary structure includes four short double-helical elements and three loops (D, anti-codon, and T loops).
Source: RNAcentral
ACCCCUGUAUCUCAAUUGGCAGAGGACAGUUUAGCGGAGCUGUAGGUUGCGGGUUCGAAUCCCGUCAGGGGUA